Molecule: non-coding RNA, 82 nt
Organism: Truncatella angustata
Lineage: Eukaryota; Fungi; Ascomycota; Sordariomycetes; Amphisphaeriales; Sporocadaceae
Source: the annotation of a RefSeq genome assembly
GGGGAUGUGGUCUAGUGGUAUGACGUUUCCUUAGCAUGCAACAGCAUGGAAAAGGUUCUGGGUUCGAUUCCCAGCCUCUCCA